GCCCCCCGCCGGCCGGUGGAGGAACGCCGCCGCCGCCGUGCACGGUGGCCGGAAAAUUCAAAUCUUCACCAAAAUUAACAAACAAUAUAUCAUUUUAUUCGUUUCGAUGAGAGGAUCACUAAUAUGUAUUCAAAUCAAGGUGGGUGUGAACUAUUUGGCCGGAAAUUGACCGGAAAGGUUCGGUGAUACCCAUUUUGGGUUUUCCGAUGCCGGCUAUUACAGUCGACGAGGAGGCCACCAAAUGAAAGAGGAAGAAGAGAGGAGUCGAUCAACACCUACCUCGACGCCUCAAGUCAUCGGAAACGAUGGGAAAUCGCUGGAGAAGUUGUUGCAACGGUGCUAAAUGUUUCGGUUGAGAUUUCUCUCAAUCCGGGCUCAAAUUGCGCAAACCAAAGUUUAAAUAGAACUCCUUGCGACGAGUAGAUAUUUUUAGAGUAUCUAUUUGCCGAAUUUGACUGCCGGUGGUCGGAGAACGAGAAGAAAAGGGGAGGGGGAUUGUUGAGAGAGGAGAGCGAGAGAGAGACCACUGAGUCUCUCUUCUCGUUUCUCUUUUCUUUCUUUUCUUUUUCUUUUUUUUUUUUCUUUUUUUUUUUCUAGAAUUUUCUAAUUGGUGGAUGGGGUUUGGGUCGAUUCAAGUCUGGU
RNAcentral lists this long non-coding RNA (642 nucleotides) under Jatropha curcas. Its description in RNAcentral is "long non-coding RNA (JCUR_LNC002454)". The record is from RNAcentral. Lineage: Eukaryota; Viridiplantae; Streptophyta; Magnoliopsida; Malpighiales; Euphorbiaceae.